GUGAGGAAUUUUCCGCAAUGGGCGAAAGCCUGACGGAGCAAUGCCGCGUGAAGGAUGAAGGCCUAUGGGUUGUAAACUUCUUUUCUUAGAGAAGAAUAUUGACGGUAUCUGAGGAAUAAGCAUCGGCUAACUCUGUGCCAGCAGCCGCGGUAAGACAGAGGAUGCAAGCGUUAUCCGGAAUGAUUGGGCGUAAAGCGUCUGUAGGUGGCUUCAAAAGUCUCCUGUCAAAGAUCAGGGCUUAACCCUGGGGCGGCAGGAGAAACUCUGAGGCUAGAGUUUGGUAGGGGCAGAGGGAAUUCCCGGUGGAGCGGUGAAAUGCGUAGAGAUCGGGAGGAACACCAAAGGCGAAAGCACUCUGCUGGGCCACAACUGACACUGAGAGAAGAAAGCGAGGGGAGCAAAAGGGAUUAGAAACCCGUGUAGUCC
Molecule: ribosomal RNA, 426 nt
Filed under: uncultured bacterium
Lineage: Bacteria
Description: partial 16S ribosomal RNA
Rfam family: Bacterial small subunit ribosomal RNA
Source: RNAcentral